GAUGAACGCUGACAGAAUGCUUAACACAUGCAAGUCAACUUGAACUUCGGUUUGGGUGGCGGACGGGUGAGUAACGCGUAAAGAACUUGCCUCACAGCUAGGGACAACAUUUGGAAACGAAUGCUAAUACCUGAUAUUAUGAUUUUAGGGCAUCCUAGAAUUAUGAAAGCUAUAUGCGCUGUGAGAGAGCUUUGCGUCCCAUUAGCUAGUUGGAGAGGUAACGGCUCACCAAGGCGAUGAUGGGUAGCCGGCCUGAGAGGGUGAACGGCCACAAUGGGACUGAGACACGGCCCUUACGCCUACGGGAGGCAGCAGUGGGGAAUAUUGGACAAUGGACCAAGAGUCUGAUCCAGCAAUUCUGUGUGCACGAUGAAGUUUUUCGGAAUGUAAAGUGCUUUCAGUUGGGAAGAAAAAAAUGACGGUACCAACAGAAGAAGUGACGGCUAAAUACGUG
This 454-nucleotide ribosomal RNA is filed under the name uncultured bacterium. RNAcentral describes it as "partial 16S ribosomal RNA". It matches the Rfam family "Bacterial small subunit ribosomal RNA", at positions 28 to 507 of the family's 1533-position model. The record is from RNAcentral.